GCCUCUCUGCCUACUUGUGAUCUCUGCCUGUGAAAUAAAUAAAUAAAAUCUUAAAAAAAGAAAAAAAGAAAAACACAUACUGGCAACAGAUCUCUGGGGGAGAGGAUGAUACAUGGCCUUGAAGCGGAGCAGCAGGGGAUGCCCCGCUAGCUCAAGGCAGAACAUGGCCUGCUUCAUUUUUUCCAUUAUCUACCCCCCGCCCCAGCACCUGUGGCUAGUUAGAUGCGUUAAGAAAGAUCAGAUGUUGGCCAUUGGAUAAUUUGGACAAUAGUGCAAAAU
This 279-nucleotide long non-coding RNA is filed under the name Mustela putorius furo (domestic ferret). RNAcentral's name for it is "lncRNA (ENSMPUG00000026308.1)". Lineage: Eukaryota; Metazoa; Chordata; Mammalia; Carnivora; Mustelidae. The record is from RNAcentral.